UGCCCCUGCCCACUAAGGCCCUGACUUGGCAGAGCUUCCACCCUGCCCUGCCAUGAGCAACUGGCUGUUCUGCUGGGUGGCCCUCAGUCUCCUGGGGGCAGACCACACGGACGCUGGAGUCUCCCAGGACCCCAGGCACAGGGUCACAGGGAGGGGUCAGAAUGUCACUCUCAGGUGUGACCCAGAGUCGGGCCAUGCUACUCUCUAUUGGUACCGGCAGACCCCAGGGCAAGGUCUGCAGUUCAUGACUUACUUCGACCGUAAAGAAGUUCUUGACGAGUCAGGCAUGCCUGGGGAGCGCUUCUCUGCUAAGAGGCCCCAGGGAUCUUCAUCCACCCUGAACAUCCAGCCUGCAGAGCCUGGGGACUCAGCUGUGUACUUCUGUGCGAGCAGCUUAGCCACAGCGUGGCACUGCCAGCUCCCUCCUGCUCACAAACCUCAUCCGUCUGUGUCCUGGCAGCUCUGAGGGAGCUUCAGUGGAGGGCAAGCUCUGAUCUUCUUGCCGCCAAAGAAGUAGGGUUGAAGCCCAUCAUCCUGUGACAGG
Non-coding RNA from Ochotona curzoniae (black-lipped pika), 544 nucleotides. Lineage: Eukaryota; Metazoa; Chordata; Mammalia; Lagomorpha; Ochotonidae. The record is from the annotation of a RefSeq genome assembly.